RNAcentral lists this non-coding RNA (176 nucleotides) under Virgibacillus sp. RNAcentral describes it as "Lysine sequence". It matches the Rfam family "Lysine riboswitch aptamer". From Rfam's summary of the family: Riboswitches are metabolite binding domains within certain messenger RNAs that serve as precision sensors for their corresponding targets. Allosteric rearrangement of mRNA structure is mediated by ligand binding, and this results in modulation of gene expression. Lineage: Bacteria; Bacillati; Bacillota; Bacilli; Caryophanales; Bacillaceae. The record is from RNAcentral. RNAcentral also lists the same sequence under 1 other name.
CGGUGAGGUAGAGGUGCAGACAGAAAGAGUAAUCAAUAGGAGAAUGACAACGUUGAUCAUUGAUGAAAGGGCUGUUUGCCGAAGUGUAGGAAGUUGUCAAACUUUCUAUUGCUGGUAUAGUUUUGAAUAAAGGCUGUACUGUCAUGUUCAAAUGUGCAUGGAGAACUACUGAUCGA